RNAcentral lists this ribosomal RNA (253 nucleotides) under uncultured bacterium. RNAcentral's name for it is "partial 16S ribosomal RNA". It matches the Rfam family "Bacterial small subunit ribosomal RNA", at positions 524 to 776 of the family's 1533-position model. The record is from RNAcentral.
UACGUAGGGCGCAAGCGUUGUCCGGAAUUAUUGGGCGUAAAGAGCUCGUAGGCGGCUUGUCGCGUCGGCUGUGAAAACCUGGGGCUCAACCCCGGGCCUGCAGCCGAUACGGGCAAGCUAGAAUUCGGUAGGGGAGACUGGAAUUCCUGGUGUAGCGGUGAAAUGCGCAGAUAUCAGGAAGAACACCCGUGGCUAAGGCGGCUCUCUAGUACGGUACUGACGCUGAGACGCGAAAGCGUGGGGAGCGAACAGG